GGUUCAUUUAUAUGUUUCAAGAAACAAACAUUGAACUUCUACCCCCUUUUUGUAGUUAAAUGAUUGCUCACUUAGGAGACAGCUUCAGGUAUAUCAAUACACAGUUACAAGUUUAGUUUCGCAUUAUAGCCAUGGUGAAUUUUCUAAAUAUGAAAGUUUUUGUACAAUUGAAUUGAUUUUUAGAUAGUUGAAUAAUAAUAUAGCCUUCCUAGUGGGUUUAUAUGAACAUUUAGAUUGUUUUUAGCAUGUUUUAUAAGCCAUUUUUCAGUUUGAACGUCCAUACGUUCCUAUCCGUACCGCCAUAGAUUUAGAAAUUUUGUAUUGUUUUUCAACAAAGAUUUGACGCUCGAUCUUUUCAAUUCAAUUU
RNAcentral lists this long non-coding RNA (367 nucleotides) under Mytilus galloprovincialis (Mediterranean mussel). Lineage: Eukaryota; Metazoa; Mollusca; Bivalvia; Mytilida; Mytilidae. The record is from RNAcentral.